Molecule: ribosomal RNA, 407 nt
Filed under: uncultured prokaryote
Description: bacterial SSU rRNA
Rfam family: Bacterial small subunit ribosomal RNA
Source: RNAcentral
UGGGGAAUAUUGCACAAUGGACGGAAGUCUGAUGCAGCAACGCCGCGUGCGGGAUGACGGCCUUCGGGUUGUAAACCGCUUUCAUCCAUGACGAAGCGCAAGUGACGGUAGUGGGAGAAGAAGCACCGGCUAACUACGUGCCAGCAGCCGCGGUGAUACGUAGGGUGCGAGCGUUGUCCGGAUUUAUUGGGCGUAAAGAGCUUGUAGGUGGUUUGUUGCGUCGGGAGUGAAAACCUAGGGCUUAACCCUGGGCCUGCUUCUGAUACGGGCAGACUUGAGGAAGGUAGGGGAGAUCGGAAUUCCUGGUGGAGCGGUGGAAUGCGCAGAUAUCAGGAGGAACACCGGUGGCGAAGGCGGAUCUCUGGACCUUUCCUGACGCUGAGAAGCGAAAGCGUGGGGAGCAAACA